GGUGACUAGCUAAAGAAGGGACACCACUAACGUGCCACUUGUGUAGAUAUUGACGUAUGUAUAUACUGUGUAUAUGUAAAAUUAUAUUUCCUAUUGUUUUACAUUUUAAAAUUUUAGAUUUCAAAUUCUUAGUAGUAUAUCUUUAAACCCAGCUUCAAACUUGGGGGCAUUUGCGUUGAGGACAUUGAGGUUGUUAUACAUUACUUUAUAUUCCCUAUUGAUAAUAAUAUCUACUUAUAUAAUUUUAUUAG
This 251-nucleotide long non-coding RNA is filed under the name Brassica napus (rape). Its description in RNAcentral is "long non-coding RNA (BNAP_LNC002319)". Lineage: Eukaryota; Viridiplantae; Streptophyta; Magnoliopsida; Brassicales; Brassicaceae. The record is from RNAcentral.